This 506-nucleotide ribosomal RNA is filed under the name uncultured bacterium. Its description in RNAcentral is "partial 16S ribosomal RNA". It matches the Rfam family "Bacterial small subunit ribosomal RNA", at positions 30 to 523 of the family's 1533-position model. The record is from RNAcentral.
AUUGAACGCUGGCGGCAGGCCUAACACAUGCAAGUCGAACGGUAACAGGAAACAGCUUGCUGUUUCGCUGACGAGUGGCGGACGGGUGAGUAAUGUCUGGGAAACUGCCUGAUGGAGGGGGAUAACUACUGGAAACGGUAGCUAAUACCGCAUAACGUCGCAAGACCAAAGAGGGGGACCUUCGGGCCUCUUGCCAUCGGAUGUGCCCAGAUGGGAUUAGCUAGUAGGUGGGGUAACGGCUUACCUAGGCGACGAUCCCUAGCUGGUCUGGUAGGAUGAGCAGCCACACUGGAACUGAGACACGGUCCAGACUCCUACGGGAGGCAGCAGUGGGGAAUAUUGCACAAUGGGCGCAAGCCUGAUGCAGCCAUGUCGCGUGUAUGAAGAAGGCCUUCGGGUUGUAAAGUACUUUCAGCGGGGAGGAAGGUGUUGAGGUUAAUAACCUCAGCAAUUGACGUUACCCGCAGAAGAAGCACCGGCUAACUCCGUGCCAGCAGCCGCCGCAG